RNAcentral lists this transfer RNA (82 nucleotides) under Vittaria graminifolia. Its description in RNAcentral is "tRNA-Tyr". It matches the Rfam family "tRNA". From Rfam's summary of the family: Transfer RNA (tRNA) molecules are approximately 80 nucleotides in length. Their secondary structure includes four short double-helical elements and three loops (D, anti-codon, and T loops). The record is from RNAcentral. Lineage: Eukaryota; Viridiplantae; Streptophyta; Polypodiopsida; Polypodiales; Pteridaceae. RNAcentral also lists the same sequence under 1 other name.
GGGUCGAUGCCCGAGUGGUUAAUGGGGACGGACUGUAAAUCCGUUGGCGGUGCCUACACUGGUUCGAAUCCAGUUCGACCCA